RNAcentral lists this ribosomal RNA (371 nucleotides) under uncultured bacterium. RNAcentral's name for it is "bacterial SSU rRNA". It matches the Rfam family "Bacterial small subunit ribosomal RNA", at positions 527 to 896 of the family's 1533-position model. The record is from RNAcentral.
GGAGGGUGCGAGCGUUGCUCGGAAUCACUGGGCGUAAAGCGUACGCAGGCGGACCGCUAAGUCGGGUGUGAAAGCCCGGGGCUCAACCCCGGAAAUGCAUUCGAAACUGACGGUCUUGAGUACGGGAGAGGGAGGUGGAAUUCCUGGUGUAGAGGUGAAAUUCGUAGAUAUCAGGAGGAACACCGGUGGCGAAAGCGGCCUCCUGGCCCGAUACUGACGCUCAUGUACGAGAGCGUGGGGAGCAAACAGGAUUAGAUACCCUGGUAGUCCACGCUGUAAACGAUGAGUGCUAGCUGGUGGAAAUGUUUACCGUUUCGCUGGCGAAGCUAACGCAUUAAGCACUCCGCCUGGGAAGUACGGCCGCAAGGCUA